GACGAACGCUGGCGGCGUGCCUAAUACAUGCAAGUCGAGCGAGCGGAACCAACAGAUUUACUUCGGUAAUGACGUUGGGAAAGCGAGCGGCGGAUGGGUGAGUAACACGUGGGGAACCUGCCCCUAAGUCUGGGAUACCAUUUGGAAACAGGUGCUAAUACCGGAUAAGAAAGCAGAUCGCAUGAUCAGCUUUUAAAAGGCGGCGUAAGCUGUCGCUAAGGGAUGGCCCCGCGGUGCAUUAGCUAGUUGGUAAGGUAACGGCUUACCAAGGCAACGAUGCAUAGCCGAGUUGAGAGACUGAUCGGCCACAUUGGGACUGAGACACGGCCCAAACUCCUACGGGAGGCAGCAGUAGGGAAUCUUCCACAAUGGACGCAAGUCUGAUGGAGCAACGCCGCGUGAGUGAAGAAGGUUUUCGGAUCGUAAAGCUCUGUUGUUGGUGAAGAAGGAUAGAGGUAGUAACUGGCCUUUAUUUGACGGUAAUCAACCAGAAAGUCACGGCUAACUACGUGCCAGCCGCCGCGGUAA
This 528-nucleotide ribosomal RNA is filed under the name uncultured bacterium. RNAcentral's name for it is "partial 16S ribosomal RNA". It matches the Rfam family "Bacterial small subunit ribosomal RNA", at positions 28 to 523 of the family's 1533-position model. The record is from RNAcentral.